Long non-coding RNA from Procambarus clarkii (red swamp crayfish), 856 nucleotides. RefSeq lists it as uncharacterized. Lineage: Eukaryota; Metazoa; Arthropoda; Malacostraca; Decapoda; Cambaridae. The record is from RefSeq and is a predicted model, not a curated record.
AUAAUGAAGCAGUGUUCUAGAAAUGCUCGAACAUCAUCAGUUCUGAGUCGGCGUGUAAAGCUGUUUUUCCGUUCAUAAACAGAGGUAAAUACUGGCUAGAUUACCCAGCAUUUAGCCACACGUUAUGAGGUCGGGCUUAACACCAGACGGAUUAUAAUUAAUAUAAUCCAGUUUUGUCCAUCUAUAAAUAUAAGAUUGUUAAUGUGAUAAUACAAGUAACAGCACGCGUAUUAAUAUUUGACGCUCCGAACAUGGGAACCCGUGACCAACUAUUACAGCUCCGGGACCGGCCAUUUGCCUGGUCGGGACGGACAGUGAUGGAUAGACUCUGGAACGGGGCGGUCGUUGACUCCGUGUGACUGUUGCACACGCGGUCACUAAUAUGAGAGAGGAGACACUGCACACUGGCCCAAUCACCACCAGUACCCCCAUGUUGGGUGCUGCCAGUCCACCGUGCACACCGGCCGUCCGCACCCACGUGUCAACAACAAUAUGACACGCUCGUCUGAGACUGAAGAUUUGAGCUCACCCUGGGGCUGAUAUUAGAGCAAUGUGAAACGAGUGGCCUAGUGCAUAGUGAACAACAUGGGGUGUGAGAACCUGUCGUGGGCAACAUCACACAAGCCAAUAAGCGUGCCAGGACCAUAGCCAGCACCAGUACAGCUGUAAAAGCUGUAAUUAAUCAAUUAGCAGACUGAAGACAAGCCUCAUUUUAGAAAUUGGAGUUGGUAGUGGAAGAAGAGGCUCAUCACCUGCACUUGGCUGCUAGGCCCCACUGUAACUGAUUGUGUGGAAGUGUGCAUAUUAAUCUGUGAUGUUAUACAGCAUAAAUGGUAUAAUGAAUAGAUAGGUAAUG